Molecule: long non-coding RNA, 3362 nt
Filed under: Cimex lectularius (bed bug)
Lineage: Eukaryota; Metazoa; Arthropoda; Insecta; Hemiptera; Cimicidae
Description: uncharacterized LOC106668718, transcript variant X1
Source: RNAcentral
ACAAAAAAUAUACAAAUGAAUUAUUACCAUAUAUAGGGAAAAAAAAAUCCUUAACUUUGUAGUCGGUGUUAUGCAAUCUGUUUAACCUGAAGGUUUUUAUGCUAGACUGAAAGAAAGAAAAAAACAAGCAAGACAAUAGAAAGGAAGUCAUCAAUAAAAACGAAAGCUUAACAUAAACUUAAAUCUGGUGGGUUUUCCUCGUAUUGCGCUCAUUUCCUGUUAUUAAGGAUUAAGGCAUAUUUAUAUUUUGUAAUAGGGGCGAGGUUCUUUUACAAAAAGAAAGAGCUAUCACGCCAAACUUUUGAAUUUUUCAAUUGGUACUUCUCAGGAGAGAAAAAAAACUUUUUGGUCCGUAAUCAGCGCUUUUUGUUAUUGGGACCGAGCCCUGUUCAGAUUAGCCGAAUAAUGCAGAAGCUUGUAGUACAAGGGGUCUGGUAGACAUACCGCAGCAUGUGGUUAAGAAAUAUUCGAAAAAAAUUUCUAUAGCAACACAAGAGUGAUAGUGUAGUUUCGUGUCAUUUUGGAAUCUGCCUGUCCUUGUCCGGUAAGUUUCGGUUUCUCACUCUCUUCAGUUUAUAAUGAUAAUUUUAGAUAAAAGCAGCUGAAGAAACGCGACUGACAGACCAAAGAAACGACAGGCUAACCAAAACGUUCAGAAAACGAACGUGAACGCGCUAGAAAUUGUCGAAAUUCUAUAGGUUCAUCACCACGCAGACUUCACAAUUGUUAUAUAAAAGUGUAAAAAUCGAGUUAGCAGUGGGCAAACCAAAAUAACUGGACAUUAAUACUACUUUUUAAAAAAAACAAAAUUUUCUAACGAAAAUAUUUCCUCUUCGCUACGAAACAUGGGAUUAGCGGUGAAUUAUACUUUACUUAUGUCCUACACAUUUUUUAAUUCAUUGUACGGUGGUAUUGAGAUUAAUCAGUUUGUUGUUUUUUACACGAAAAAAUAGUAUUCAUCACUUCUGAGCACUGACCAGUGAUUUUUUUUUUUUUUUUUUUUUUCAAAAGAGCGAAUCUGGGAUUUUACGAGUUUAAUUGUUAAUCAUUUUGACAAUUUCAUAUACUUCAUUGAAAAAUUAAGUACAAUAAAGUAUUAGAAAUACAAAUUGUAAAAAAAAUUAUCAUAACUAAAAGGGAUUAAGCAAAUAAAAAACAAAAAAUUUAAAACUAAAGUUCAAAAUACAUAUUAAACAAAGCAAACUUUUAAUUACCUAUAACACUCAUCACUCGUAAUUAGAUCUGUAGACCACACACAUUCUUUUGGAAGGUAUAAUAUUUGAUGACGCAUUCCAGAAAUCAGCAUUCUAUCAGGAGGGUGGUGCAAAGUAUCGGGUUGUAAAAUAAGUCUUCAAAUUAUCAUUAAUUCUAUUUUAUCCCUCUUGUGUUUUGAAGCAAUGUUUAAUUUGAUAUUAUUGUUUACAGACUCUGAAAAGGGAUUAGUUAAGGUGUUUUUAUUCAUCAGAUUCGUUCGAGAACUCUAAUGUUAACAAGGUGUUUUACUAAUUUCAAAUGGAGGAAAAAUAGUGCAUUUCCGUUUUUUAUUGCUGUUUGACUGCUAGGAAAAUGUGUAACGAUGAUUAGUUGUAAUCAUCAGUGUAUGGUGAUGAGUUCAUGACGGUUUAGGAGAAAGCAAGUAAGUGGUUAGCUCGGUUCAAAAACAGAAAUUUUGAUUUGGAAAACGCAAAGAGCACUGGUCGUCCUUCAAUCGGUGAUGAUGAUCAAAUUCAAGUUUUUGUUAGAAAUAACCCACAUAUCUUGUACAAGCGAUUCAACGCUUUUUUGACAAACUGGAUAUAUUUGUCAAAGAGAAGUCAGUUCUUCAUAUAUUGACUGAGACAAUUUUUUUUAGACAGCAUCUCCAUCUGCAAUUCCCUCCUCAAACGAAAUGUAAACGCCCCAUUUUGAAAAGACCGAUGACUGGCGAUGAAACGUUAAUCCAUUACAAUGUUCUGAAAAAAAUACUGGGGAAAACGCAGCGACCCACCGUUAACUACUCCAAAAGCCGGAUUACAUCAGAAUAAGGUGCAUGCAUUUUGGAAGAGGGUGUUUUAUUUUGAGCUUCUUCCCCCCAAACCAAAUUCUAGUGGUGUUAAUUCUAGUGUAUAAUGCACAUAAUCAUCCAUCAUUGGGAUUUGAAUUCCCUAGGGGAUUCCAAUGAGAUUUGUUUUGUGCCAGGAUAAUCUUUUCUUUUGUCUUUGUGACUUUGCAGACGUGCUAGAAAUUGUCGAAAUUUGGCUGGGAUGUGAUGAACCACUCAUUCGCCUUCAGAUUUUCAGUUAAUCCGGAAAACUUUACUUCACUUGAGGACUCCAGAAAAUACAUCGACGACAAAACCUAAGAAGUUCGGGGAGGCCUGAAUUACAAACUAACACGGAAGAUGGCAACAAGUACGGCCCAAAGUAACGGACGAUUGGAAAUGGAAUGAAGUUGUAAUAGACCGGAGGGAGAAUGAUUCGCCGGAAGAUAGUUUGGAUGAAGUUUUGGAUUUAGAUGUUUAGUUCAAUGCGUGAUUUUGUACACCACUACUCUGAGGAUAGGUGAGCACAGGUUUCGAUGAACUAUGACGGGAUUUGAUGAUAAUACGGCGAUCAUCAUCAAAUGAGAAUGGACAUCGACCGUCUGUAUAGAUCUUAUAUACACCCAGGACACUACCGCGUGGAACUUCUCCAUCGUCCCUGUGCAAAAGGAAAAGAGGAUCCAACUCGAACUUCAGCCCAAAGCUUAUUGUGGUAAUUACAGCCGCAUUAAAAAAGAAUUGGAAGCUUGUGUAACUAAAGGACACGACUGCCGGGAGUGCAAACCAGGCAAGAGAAAGAGGAACUCCCACUCAACAGAAAAGAAUAAAAUCUUCUUUAAAAAUAGGACUAUCGUCAGGUGACCUUUAUCGAUUAUGUCAAGAGAGACAUGAGACGACUGAACAUAUCCUAUGAAACUGCCCUAAAAUGGCUAGGAAAAGAGUAUGAAACAUGGGAAAUCGCGGUCAGACCUUGAUGCCACUCCCUGAGAAGAAUUCUUUACUUCAUAAAAGGGACGAAUACCUUCCAGGAUAUCCCUUAGACCAGAUCGGACACAAUUGAUCAAAGAUCGAAAUACAAGGCAGCCCAUAGCGCAGGGGAAUCGCAUUCGCUUUAAGACUAGAUCGAAAUACAUUGACAGGCAAAAAAACUCUACCUAAAUGAUUUUUUGGGUUUUUCUCGAUAAAAGAAAAUUCUGCCCUUAAUUUGUCUAAUUGCUUCGAGACGCCGUUAGAUGUUUUGGAGAAGCUGGGCCUUAGAAGACCCGGUUCUGGGCACCCUAGGGUAACAGAACCACAGGAUGACCGUUUUUUGACUCUGAGAAUUUUGCGAAACCGGCGCCUU